RNAcentral lists this ribosomal RNA (460 nucleotides) under uncultured bacterium. Its description in RNAcentral is "partial 16S ribosomal RNA". It matches the Rfam family "Bacterial small subunit ribosomal RNA", at positions 338 to 795 of the family's 1533-position model. The record is from RNAcentral.
CCUACGGGUGGCAGCAGUGAGGAAUAUUGGUCAAUGGACGCAAGUCUGAACCAGCCAUGCCGCGUGCAGGAAGACGGCUCUAUGAGUUGUAAACUGCUUUUGUACGGGGGUAAACGCAGAUACGCGUACCUGUCUGAAAGUAUCGUACGAAUAAGGAUCGGCUAACUCCGUGCCAGCAGCCGCGGUAAUACGGAGGAUUCAAGCGUUAUCCGGAUUGAUUGGGCGUAAAGGGUGCGUAGGCGGGCGGAUAAGUCAGAGGUGAAAUCCCGGGGCUCAACUUCGGAAUUGCCUCUGAUACUGUUCGGCUGGAGAGUAGUUGCGGCAGGCGGAAUGCAUGGUGUAGCGGUGAAAUGCUUAGAGAUCAGACAGAACACCGAUGGCGAAGGCAGCUUACCGAGCUACUUCUGACGUUGAGGCACGAAAGCGUGGGGAGCAAACAGGAUUAGAUACCCCAGUAGUC